UUUUAAAACAAUAAUCUAGGGACAAAAAUUGAAAGCUUUAGCUCCUAGUGACUACAAGCUGUAGACUGUAGGUUGGCACAAAAUCUGAAUGGGAGUCAGUGGAUUUGGUGAGCAAAUCUUUGCAACAAGCCCUUUGAUGUUCUAAAGCUAAAGCCGUUUCAGCUGAAAGCCGGUUGGGGCGCCGGGAUUAGGACUGUGGUUUCUAUCUUUUGAAAAUAGCGCUCCCCCUUGUGGCCAUUCGCAUGCUGACUUCUAAAAUUGAGUUCUGAGAGCUCUUCUGGCUUGGGGAGCAUCUCUCCCAGUUUGUUUUCUUUCUGCUUUUAUAUUGUAGCCCUGUCUUCGAGGUAGAUUUCAGUCUCCGCUCGCCCCCUCGGUCAAGAAGCCUUGUUUAUUGUUAUUAGAUAUCGAUGAUGCUGACGGGCCCUACGUGGAGGGUCUGUGAUCAGACAGAAGGGUGAUGGGUCAGGACUCGCUUCUGCUGCGUUUGACGUCUCCCAGGUUGGAGGCCAGUAGUGGGGAAGUCGCCGGGCUUAGACUCCCAGGACACCAGGUUUGGAUCCCGGCUGUAUCAUUAACUGAUAGAGUUUUUUCUGGUCCAGGGCUCAAAGCCGUUAUGUAUGCAGCCAAAGGCCUCAAAGAACGAUUGUUCUCCAGGACACCUUCCCGUUCUGAGAGGCUAGCUCUAGAGUAUUUGGGAAGGGGGUAUGUUAGACCCUGGCUUCUUCCAUUUUUCCUGGGGGCUUAUUCCACAGCCUGGGCUGCUGUGAGUUCAAUCAUGUGGUUGCCUGGGAGCCUAGUGAGAAGAAAACCCAAGCACAAGUCCACUUGGAGAACUCCAGCAUCAUUUUAGUGGGGAGGUGCCAUGUCCUCUACCUAGGGGCUGGAGGGAUGGCAGCUUGUACUGGCCGAAGGGUUCUUGGAAGAGAUCCCCAAGGGGCACACAUUCCUUAAAAUGUGACAGGCACAACGAGGGACUCCAUUUUAAAUCUAUCAAAUUAAAGAUUGUUUGAAAUGAUGCUCAAUGCAUGCAAGGUUUGGUUAGAUGGGCAAGUCGAUGGGGUGUAAACAGGUUGAUUUUUGUGUGGGCAGUUUGAAAAUAUCAAGAGCUUCGAAAAUGAUGGUUACUUUUUUCUUGAAAUUUCAAUCACAGAGGCAGAAUGUGAGCAAAGAUGACUACACAAAGACAUUCACUCUGGCUUCCAGUCUGUGGUUAGGAAAACUGGAAGCAAGCUAAAUGUUUAGCUUUAGGGAAGAGGCUUAAGAUGUGGUAACCAAGGUUGCUUUUAUUAGUUUUGCCAUGGAUGGAGCCUUUCUUCAGAUCUUCAGGCUCAUGUGGAAAAACUGGUAAAACGGAAAGCAAAUGGAAGAAUAUAAAAACCCCAGUAAUCCCACCACCUAGAGAAAACUACUCACUGAUGUGAACAUACCUGUACAUAAAUCUUGUCUAUAUUCGUACUUUUGAAAGUCGCCGUUUCCAAGAACCUAUUCAUGAUGUUAGGUGAGGAUUUACCGUCCUUGAAAAAAAAACCUCCCCAAAAGUAGGAAAUUUCAAAGCAUAACAAAGACCCAAUUCUUGCUGCUCUGGUGUUGCUUUGGUGGGAACUUCAGCAGCAGUUCUGUGGAUUGUCCUGACAGAUGCCACCACUUUUGAACACUGGUAAAUUUAAACAGUGUAAAUUGCAUUUGUUCUUUUCAAGGAUUCUCUCAUGCAUAUUUUCUCAUUCAAUUUUUAAUGAGCUAAAACUUGAUUGAUACUUAAUGCAUAAUUGCAUGCUUUAAGUAUAUGUGUCCUUGUUAUUUCCAUUUUAUAGCCAAAAUUUGGGCAUGGAAAUUUAGAGAUUGAAUAGCUUACUCACUCAAAUGUUCAAGUUAGCAGUCAAACCCCUGUUCUCUGAUUAUUUUCC
This is a non-coding RNA of Macaca mulatta (Rhesus monkey), 1904 nucleotides long. NCBI's taxonomy places the organism in Eukaryota, Metazoa, Chordata, Mammalia, Primates, Cercopithecidae. The record is from RefSeq and is a predicted model, not a curated record.